AAUGAACGCUGGCGGCAUGCCUAACACAUGCAAGUCGAACGAGACCUUCGGGUCUAGUGGCGCACGGGUGCGUAACGCGUGGGAACCUGCCCUUAGGUUCGGAAUAACUCCCCGAAAGGGGUGCUAAUACCGGAUAAUGUCUUCGGACCAAAGAUUUAUCGCCUUUGGAUGGGCCCGCGUUGGAUUAGCUAGUUGGUAGGGUAAAAGCCUACCAAGGCGACGAUCCAUAGCUGGUCUGAGAGGAUGAUCAGCCACACUGGGACUGAGACACGGCCCAGACUCCUACGGGAGGCAGCAGUGGGGAAUAUUGGACAAUGGGCGAAAGCCUGAUCCAGCAAUGCCGCGUGAGUGAUGAAGGCCUUAGGGUUGUAAAGCUCUUUUACCCGGGAUGAUAUUGACAGUACCGGGAGAAUAAGCUCCGGCUAACUCCGUG
This 433-nucleotide ribosomal RNA is filed under the name uncultured bacterium. RNAcentral describes it as "partial 16S ribosomal RNA". It matches the Rfam family "Bacterial small subunit ribosomal RNA", at positions 29 to 507 of the family's 1533-position model. The record is from RNAcentral.